ACCCUCGGCCCCCCACGGCGGUUGGUCCGGGCGGGGGAAGGAGAAAGUGAGACUCGGUGUCAUCACCAAUCCAUCGCCAGAAGGGGAGGAAACUGGAAUCCAGCAGCGGCGAGCAGCAGCUGGACGGUAACAUCUGGAAAUGGAAAGCCGACCUCCCCCUCCUCCUCCACCUCCUCCUCCUCCUCCUCCUCCUCCUCCUCCUCCUCUCACCCAGGAUCACUUCCAAAACCACUUGGCCUUCAGCCCCUGCCUCGGCCAGAGGUUUCAUUUUUAACUGAAUAUUUACGAAAGCUGAAAGCGUGCGAGGGGGGUGGGGUGGAAAUAGCGGCUGCUUCUUUUCCAAGGAUUUAUUUAAUGGGGAUGUGUUCAAGGCAAGACCGAAUUCAGAAGGAUAUCGACGUCGUGAUCCAGAAGUCCAGAGCUGAGGACUGCCUGUUUGCAGAAAUCACAGAGAUCAGCAACUCUAGAGUGCGAUGAAGAAGCUUCACUCUGGGAGAACCCCCUUCGUGACCACGGUCUCUUUCCUGCCAGGGCACUGGCAACAGUUUUCCGUUUGUGCCUACUCCACCUGCUGUCUUUGUUGGGUCAGCGAACAUCGCCUCCCUCUACCGCUCAAUCAGCAAAAGGGACCGCCCUUGAGGACCUCACCCGCCGCUCACUCCCCUCCCAACUUCGCGGGCAUCGCCUCCGGUCGCCUCUUCCGAAGGCCUAACGAGCAUGUUAGCUGCGAACGGAGGUGAGGAGGCUCCGCUGACUGACCGGUGCCCACGUCCAGGGCACGCACAAACGCCAUGACUUGGCUUGGCCUCUCUCUUAGUUAUUCACAGCUCAGCCCGAUAGGCACCUCUGGGGCGGCGACGGCAAAGAGGGUGCGCUUAUUAAGUGCAGCUCCACGGGGACUGGCCUCUCUGCACGGCUGUGUACACCUGAGCGAGACGCUCAGUCGCUCUCUAAAGCCGCUUCU
RNAcentral lists this long non-coding RNA (964 nucleotides) under Homo sapiens (human). Its description in RNAcentral is "long non-coding RNA NONHSAT006211.2". The record is from RNAcentral. Lineage: Eukaryota; Metazoa; Chordata; Mammalia; Primates; Hominidae.